This 449-nucleotide ribosomal RNA is filed under the name uncultured bacterium. RNAcentral's name for it is "partial 16S ribosomal RNA". It matches the Rfam family "Bacterial small subunit ribosomal RNA", at positions 29 to 523 of the family's 1533-position model. The record is from RNAcentral.
AACGAACGCUGGCGGCAUGCCUAACACAUGCAAGUCGAACGAGAUCUUCGGGUCUAGUGGCGCACGGGUGCGUAACGCGUGGGAAUCUGCCCUUUGGUUCGGAAUAACAGUUGGAAACGACUGCUAAUACCGGAUGAUGACGAAAGUCCAAAGAUUUAUCGCCAGAGGAUGAGCCCGCGUAGGAUUAGCUAGUUUGUGUGGUAAAGGCGCACCAAGGCGACGAUCCUUAGCUGGUCUGAGAGGAUGAUCUGCCACACUGGGACUGAGACACGGCCCAGACUCCUACGGGAGGCAGCAGUGGGGAAUAUUGGACAAUGGGCGAAAGCCUGAUCCAGCAAUGCCGCGUGAGUGAUGAAGGCCUUAGGGUUGUAAAGCUCUUUUACCCGGGAUGAUAAUGACAGUACCGGGAGAAUAAGCUCCGGCUAACUCCGUGCCAGCCGCCGCAGUAA